This 525-nucleotide ribosomal RNA is filed under the name Dujonia zeylanoides. RNAcentral's name for it is "eukaryotic LSU rRNA". It matches the Rfam family "Eukaryotic large subunit ribosomal RNA", at positions 74 to 605 of the family's 3401-position model. Lineage: Eukaryota; Fungi; Ascomycota; Pichiomycetes; Serinales; Debaryomycetaceae. The record is from RNAcentral.
AUUGCCUCAGUACGGCGAGUGAAGCGGCAAAAGCUCAAAUUUGAAAUCUAGCACUUUCAGUGUUCGAGUUGUAAUUUGAAGAAGGUAACUUUGGUUUUGGCUCUUGUCUAUGUUCCUUGGAACAGGACGUCACAGAGGGUGAGAAUCCCGUGCGAUGAGAUGCCCAAUUCCAUGUAAAGUGCUUUCGAAGAGUCGAGUUGUUUGGGAAUGCAGCUCUAAGUGGGUGGUAAAUUCCAUCUAAAGCUAAAUAUUGGCGAGAGACCGAUAGCGAACAAGUACAGUGAUGGAAAGAUGAAAAGAACUUUGAAAAGAGAGUGAAAAAGUACGUGAAAUUGUUGAAAGGGAAGGGCUUGAGAUCAGACUUGGUAUUUUGCGUUCCCUUCCUUUUUGGUUGGGUUCCUCGCAGUUUACUGGGCCAGCAUCGGUUUGGAUGGUAGGAUAAUGACAUUGGAAUGUAGCUUUACUUCGGUGAAGUGUUAUAGACUUUGUUGAUACUGCCUAUCUAGACCGAGGACUGCGUCUUUG